Molecule: ribosomal RNA, 492 nt
Filed under: uncultured bacterium
Lineage: Bacteria
Description: partial 16S ribosomal RNA
Rfam family: Bacterial small subunit ribosomal RNA
Source: RNAcentral
AGUGAACGCUGGCGGCAUGCCUAACACAUGCCAGUCGAACGGCAGCACAGUAAGAUCUUGCUCUUACGGGUGGCGAGUGGCGGACGGGUGAGGAAUACAUCGGAAUCUACUUUUUCGUGGGGGAUAACGUAGGGCAACUUACGCUAAUACCGCAUACUAUCUACGGGUUAAAUCAGAGGUGCUUCGGACCUUUCCCGACACAAUGAGCCGAUGUCGGGUUAGCUAGUCGGCGGGGUAAAGUCCCACCCAGCCGACGAACCGUAGCUGGUCUGAGAGGAUGAUAAGCCCCACUGGAACUGAGACACGCUCCAGACUCCUCCGGGAGGCAGCAGUGGGGAAUAUUGGACAAUGGGCGCAAGACUGAUCCAGCCAUACCGCGUGGGUGAAGAAGGCCUUCGGGUUGUAAAGACCUUUUGUUGGGAAAGAAAAGCAGUAGGUUAGUAACUCGCUGUUCUGACGGUACCCAAAGAAUAAGCGCCGGCUAACUUCGUG